CAAUAGCGUAUACUAACGUUGUUGCAGUUAAAAGCUCGUAGUUGGAUUUCUGACGAUCUUGGUUCAUCCCGGCUCACUGAGACGUGUGGUGUCCAAGGCAGUCAACAUUUGGCGUGGUCUCGUACCGGCCCUUUACUGGGACGUGCGGGCGAUCGUCUCGUUUACUUUGAGAAAAUUAGAGUGUUCAAAGCAGGCUCUUGCCUUGAAUAUGUUAGCAUGGAAUAAUGACAUAGGACUUUGGUUCUAUUUGUUGGUUGUUCGAGAACUAGAGUAAUGAUUGAUAGGGACGGUUGGGGGCAUACGUAUUCCGGGGCGAGAGGUGAAAUUCUUGGACCCCCGGAAGACGAACCGCUGCGAAAGCGUUUGCCUAGGACGUUCUCUUUAAUCAAGAACGAAAGUUAGGGGAUCGAAGAUGAUUAGAU
RNAcentral lists this ribosomal RNA (422 nucleotides) under uncultured eukaryote. Its description in RNAcentral is "bacterial SSU rRNA". It matches the Rfam family "Eukaryotic small subunit ribosomal RNA", at positions 592 to 1013 of the family's 1831-position model. The record is from RNAcentral.